Long non-coding RNA from Selaginella moellendorffii, 432 nucleotides. RefSeq lists it as uncharacterized. The transcript is spliced from 6 exons. NCBI's taxonomy places the organism in Eukaryota, Viridiplantae, Streptophyta, Lycopodiopsida, Selaginellales, Selaginellaceae. The record is from RefSeq and is a predicted model, not a curated record.
UUACGGUCGUGCGGAGAAAGCAUAUGCACAAGCAGCUCAACUGCUUGCAGUCUCCAGCAGAUGAAACCAUCGGUAGAAACUCCGCCUCACGCGUGAAGCUGUAAAUGGGAACUUCUACUUUCGACAGCUUCUAGCGGGAAGAGAUUUCUGUCUAAACCCCGGGAAUAUAAUAGAAACGCAGAUUUUCAACGCUGGAGCUCAGAUGCAAAACUACGUCUAUUUGGUUGGCGAUGCGAAAACUCGCGAGGCUGUGGUGGUCGAUCCGGCAUGGGACGUCAAAGGAAUCAAAGCCUUCGCAGAUGCGGAACACAUAAAACUUGUCGGUGCUGUAGCUACUCAUUAUCACUUUGAUCAUACUGGAGGCCCCCCUCCGCCUCCUUUCGAUCGACUUAUGAUCAAGCUGCCGGGAGUGCGUCAACUGGCAGUCGAAGA